AACGAACGCUGGCGGCAUGCCUAACACAUGCAAGUCGAACGAGACCUUCGGGUCUAGUGGCGCACGGGUGCGUAACGCGUGGGAACCUGCCCUUAGGUUCGGAAUAACUCCCCGAAAGGGGUGCUAAUACCGGAUAAUGUCUUCGGACCAAAGAUUUAUCGCCUUUGGAUGGGCCCGCGUUGGAUUAGCUAGUUGGUAGGGUAAAAGCCUACCAAGGCGACGAUCCAUAGCUGGUCUGAGAGGAUGAUCAGCCACACUGGGACUGAGACACGGCCCAGACUCCUCGGGGAGGCAGGAGUGGGGAAUUGUGAACAAGGGGCAAGAGCCUGAUCCAGCAAUGCCGCGUGAGUGAAGAGGGCUUUGGGGUUGAAAACCUCUUUUCCCCGGGAUGAUAAUGACAGUACGGGGAAAAUAAGCCCCGGCUACCCCCGUG
This 433-nucleotide ribosomal RNA is filed under the name uncultured bacterium. RNAcentral's name for it is "partial 16S ribosomal RNA". It matches the Rfam family "Bacterial small subunit ribosomal RNA", at positions 29 to 507 of the family's 1533-position model. The record is from RNAcentral.